RNAcentral lists this ribosomal RNA (505 nucleotides) under uncultured bacterium. RNAcentral describes it as "bacterial SSU rRNA". It matches the Rfam family "Bacterial small subunit ribosomal RNA", at positions 29 to 528 of the family's 1533-position model. The record is from RNAcentral.
AGCGAACGUUUGCGGCGGGCUUAACACAUGCAAGUCGAACGAGAAUCCCUUCGGGGAGGAAAGUGGCGCACGGGUGCGUAACACGUGGAUAACCAACCCAUUGGUUUGGGACAACACCGGGAAACUGGUGCUAAUACCAGAUGUGUCGCAGCUGUCUUCAGGCGGUUGCGAGAAAGGCCCGCAAGGGUCGCCAACGGACGGGUCCGCGUCCCAUCAGCUAGUUGGUGAGGUAAUGGCUCACCAAGGCAAAGACGGGUAGCUGGUCUGAGAGGAUGAUCAGCCACACUGGAACUGAGACACGGUCCAGACUCCUACGGGAGGCAGCAGUGGGGAAUAUUGCGCAAUGGGCGAAAGCCUGACGCAGCCACGCCGCGUGAGCGAUGAAGGUCUUCGGAUCGUAAAGCUCUGUGGGGGGAGAAGAAGAAAGCCGGUGAAGAGCCGGCCCUGACGGUAUCCCCUUAGCAAGCACCGGCUAACUCCGUGCCAGCAGCCGCGGUAAAGUCGU